This 94-nucleotide small RNA is filed under the name Rhodoblastus sphagnicola. RNAcentral describes it as "rpsB sRNA". It matches the Rfam family "rpsB sRNA". Lineage: Bacteria; Pseudomonadati; Pseudomonadota; Alphaproteobacteria; Hyphomicrobiales; Rhodoblastaceae. The record is from RNAcentral.
CACACGCGGACAUGCGCGCUCCUGUCUCAAGGCGGCGCUCCGGUGGCUGGACGUCCAGCCCAUCGUCCGCGGAGGUCCAACCGGAGAGAAACUA